Molecule: RNA transcript, 4392 nt
Organism: Pyrus x bretschneideri (Chinese white pear)
Lineage: Eukaryota; Viridiplantae; Streptophyta; Magnoliopsida; Rosales; Rosaceae
Gene name: receptor-like protein EIX2
Exons: 5
Source: RefSeq, a predicted model, not a curated record
UUCAACCCGACGCAUCUAUAUCCGUUAUCGUUCGAACAAAAUAUAAAACAUUCUAAAUACGUUUUCAAAAUUUUACACCACAUGAAAAGAACAGUUCCAGCAGAAGACCUUAAUUCAAAGUCUCCGCUGCAUAUGGAUUUCUACGACGCAACAGAACUAGGUCCCAGCUGUGUCGAUAAUGGACUUGCCAACUUGUAAAAUGGGUUGUGAAGACCCGCCCUCUUUUCUUUUAUCCAUCAGACAAGUUUCGUUGCAACUCCUCGAUCUGCAUCGAUAAUCUAUUCCUAUAAAUUCUGGGAUUUAGAAGCUAAACAUCAUCAUCACCAAAGCAUAGCAAAGAAAAGUGUGUGUGAUAAUGGAUAGCCACUAUCACCUCAGUAUUGCUCACUGUUUCCUUCUUUUCCUUUUGGCGUCUUCCUACAUGCGGAGUACUACUCAACUCUGUUUCUGUUUGGCCAGUGGUGAACUUUCAAGCAGUGUGGAAACAAAUUCGUGCAUCGACGAAGAAAGACGAGCGCUUCUCAUCUUUAAACGACAUCUUGUUGAUCCUUCUGGCAGGCUUUCCUCUUGGGUGGGUCACGAUUGCUGUCGAUGGGAAGGGAUUUCAUGCAACAACCUCACUGGUCAUGUCGUGAAGAUGGACCUCCGGAAUCGAUACCCAGAUCUAAAUUCCUUUCCGGCUUAUUUUAAGUCUCAAUUGGGAGGUAAGAUAAAUGCUUCUCUGUUGAGCUUGAAACAUUUAAAUUACCUGGACCUAAGCCUUAAUGAUUUUCAUGGCAUUCAAGUUCCUAAGUUCUUCGGGGAGCUUAAAAGUUUGCAAUAUCUCAAUCUCUCCUCUGCGUCAUUUGGAGGAGAGAUUCCCCCUUCUCUUGGUAACCUAUCAAGCCUCAAUUUUCUUGACCUUGGGGGGGAUCCAACCUUAGGGAGUAAUCAACUCUCAUCUUCCAGAAAUUUGAAUUGGCUGUCUCGCCUCUCUUCUCUAAAAUACCUUGAUCUCGGAGGCAUGAAUCUUAGCACCACAGGAGUCAAUUGGGCGUAUGCUGUUAAUAUGCUUCCUUCAUUAGCAGAGUUACACUUAUCUGAUUGCCAAAUUGAAAGCAUUUCACUCUCACUGCGGAGCAUUAACUUGACAUCACUUUUUAAUCUUACCAGCCUCAUAACACUUGAUCUAUCCUGGAAUGAUUUCGGUGAUCGUUUCCCAAGUGAAUUUGCAAACUUCAAAUCUCUGGAAUACCUUGAUUUAUCUAGUACAGGCUUAGAAGGCCAAAUUCCUAAAGUCAUUGGAAAUUUGUGCAAGCUAAAGGUCUUAAGUCAUUAUGAAAACGAAUUUAAUGGGGGGCUUGAAGAGUUUUGGAGAAGUUUCUCAAAUUGUUUAAAUAUUGCAUUAGAGUCACUAGAUUUGUCUUCUUGUGAGCUGGGAAGCCAACUGCCGGUCUCCUUAGGAAUGUUUAAAAGUAUGCAGAAUCUCUACCUUCAACACAACUCUUUGUGGGGCUCAAUUCCAGAUUCCAUUCAAAACUUGUCAUCCUUGAAAACUUUAGACCUCUCUUCUAAUAUGAUGACCGGCUCCAUUCCAGAUUCCAUUGGAAACUUGUCAUCCUUGAAAACUUUGGACCUCUCUUAUAAUAUGAUGAACGGCUCCAUUUCACAAAGUUUGGGACAACUCUCUCAGCUAGUUUCCCUCGAUCUGUCUUCUAAUCCUUGGGAGGGCAAUCUAACGGAAGCCCAUUUCAUAAAUCUUAUCCGGUUACAAGAUUUUAGAGCAGGAGGCAUAUACAACCACACGUCCCUCAUUUUUGACAUGGCUUAUGAUUGGGUUCCUCCAUUCAAGCUCCACAUAAUAGAUAUCAUAAAGUGUCAGAUAGGUCCUGGUUUUGGGGUAUGGCUUCAAUCUCAAACUGAACUGAGGAGCAUCUGUCUUACGGGUAAUGGAAUCUCGGAUUCCUUACCAAAUGACUGGCUGUUAAAGAUAUCUUCACAACUCAUCCAACUAGACUUGUCUUACAAUCAAUUUCGUGGAAACCUUCCAUCCCAUUUGAAAUCUCCAAAAUUGGAGUGGAUUGAUUUGAGUUAUAAUCAGUUGGAGGGCCCACUCCCACUUUGGUCGGCCACUAAGGUCACUCACUUUGAUCUUGAAAGCAAUUCCUUUUCCGGGCCAAUUCCCUCCAAUAUUGACCAGAUGAUGCCCAAUUUGAAUUCUUUGUAUCUUUCUGAGAAUCAUUUGAAUGGCAAUAUUCCUCGCUCUAUCUGUAACAUGCAGCAAUUGCAAGAAUUGUUUCUUUCUGAUAAUCAUUUGAAUGGCACUAUUCCUCCCUUUGUUUACAACAUGAAGCAGUUGCAAAUCUUGUCUCUAAGGAGCAAUCAAUUUCACGGAGAAUUUCGUCAUGCAUGGAAUGUGGGGAGCAAUAUGAGGUAUCUAGAUGUUAGUCAAAACAAUCUCUCGGGUAAUAUUCCCACAUCAUUGGGGGUAUUAAUUUCACUGGAAGUAUUAAAGCUCAACAACAACAAUUUUGACGGUGAAAUUCCAAAUUCCUUGCAAAAUUGUUCUCAGUUGACGAGUAUUGAUCUUGGAGACAACAAGUUAUUUGGCAAAAUACCACAGUGGAUAGGAGGAUUAAAUGUAUCCAUGUUGAAUAUGAUACGAUUACGGUCCAACAAAUUUAGUGGACAUAUAUCCCAGCAACUGUGCAAUCUUCAACAACUUCAUAUCCUCGACCUUAGUCACAACAACAUUUCAGGUACUAUUCCCAAGUGUUUGGGUAAUUUGGCUUCGCUGGUCAAUGAUUCAUAUACAUCAGAUGAUACUUUUUAUUACUCUGAUGAGCAAACCACACUGACACUAAAAGGAAGGGAACUUGUGUACAACACGACUCUGGAUCUUGUAACGAGCAUUGAUCUUUCAUCAAAUAAUUUACAAGGUGAAAUUCCUGAAGAAAUAAGUAGCCUCAUUCUAUUGGGCACCUUGAACUUGUCUAGGAAUCAAUUGAUUGGAAAGAUCCCUUCCGAGAUCGGAAACUUGCAUUGGCUCGAAACACUUGAUCUCUCACACAACCAUCUUUCAGGACAGAUUCCUCAAAGCUUGUCAUCUUUAACCUCACUAUCCCACUUGAACUUGUCUUACAACAACUUGUCUGGAAGAAUUCCUUCAGGAAACCAGCUUUAAACGCUCAUUGAUCCGUCCAUUUAUAUGGAAAAUCCAUCGCUAUGCGGCGUUCCUCUCUCAACUAAGUGCCCUGGAGAUGACACUUUCCCAUCUAAGGAUACAAAAGACAUGAAUGAAGGUGGAAAUGAUGAGUUGUGGUUCUAUGUCAUCAUGGUAUUUGGCUUUAUUGUAGGCUUUUGGGGGGUUUGCGGCACAUUGAUCUUAAAGACAUCAUGGAGGUAUGCAUAUUUUCAGUUCUUCGACAACAUCAAAGACAAGGUAGCACUAGCAAUUGUAUUGAAAGUGGCUUAUUUUCAAUGAAUGUUUUCUUAUGUUUGAUAGUACUACGUAUAUUUGUGGUUUCCUUUGUAUUUGGUUUAUGGGACUUGCAACUUAUGUAUUGAAUCAAAAAAAUUCUGCCUUUCAAUAAAUGUUCCCACAAACAAUUAUGUAUUAACUUGGAAUUAAUUAAAAUUUCUAGUUUGUACUUAUCAAUCGCAUAAACCAAAAAAAUUAGGGAAGGGGUAGUAACGUACAAUCGCGUUUAUUUCAUAAAACGAAAAUAAAGACGAGACGACUCAGACCUCUGCAACGGUCGACUGUUCUCAUUCCGCUCCAUCUCCGAAGAUCAGAAUCCGAGAAGAGCAAGAGAUAUCUCCAAAAUGACGUCGUUUAAGAAUUCGGCGUAGGACAGAAUCGGGUGGGAGAAGAAAACUCAACAUGCUCACGUGCUUGGUUCUUCUGCUGGUUUUAAGUUCUUGUGGUGGUGGUGGGAGAAGAACUAGAAGAAAACUCUACAAGUUCUUCUAGGAUUGUAGGGGGUGAUGCCUCUAAAAUUAUGAGCGGUAAAAGUGAGAGGAUUAAAUCUUUGCAACGGGUUUCAGUGGGUACAAACGUUAAGACUGUGAAUUUAUCAUCAAGGAUAUCCUUCCUGGGAAAAGGGCGGGAAAGCUUUAAUACUUCAGAAAUGCUGGUGUAGUUUCCCGGAUUCAAUUGUACCAUUUGAAUUUCUUUUUAUUAUGGAUAAACCUGUAGCUAUUAAAGACUUGAAAGCACCUUCAGAGAAUCAAAGGACCAAGGCUAUGGGUCUAAACCGUGAAUCUAUUGUUACAGAUGGCAGCUCUGAGCCACCUUUGUUUCCCUCUUCAUAAGAAAUUAGAAAUUGUGCCGCAAUUUGUUUGUUGUGCCUUUGUAAUAUUGACAUGUUUGUUUAUUUACUGUGAAUAAGAUCUGUAUCUGAUAUUGAUGUA